Non-coding RNA from Parelaphostrongylus tenuis, 73 nucleotides. The record is from the annotation of a GenBank genome assembly. Lineage: Eukaryota; Metazoa; Nematoda; Chromadorea; Rhabditida; Metastrongylidae.
UGCGUCGUGGUGCAAUGGUUAGUAUAUGCUCCAGGAAAGAGAGAGAUCAGGGUUCGAAUCUCGGCUGACGCAA